Stegostoma tigrinum is the source of this 2527-nucleotide long non-coding RNA. RefSeq lists it as uncharacterized. The record is from RefSeq and is a predicted model, not a curated record. Lineage: Eukaryota; Metazoa; Chordata; Chondrichthyes; Orectolobiformes; Stegostomatidae. The transcript is spliced from 3 exons.
CCAGCUUUAAUCCUUUGUGUUUGACUUCAAUAACCUCCUCAUAAAAAAAACCAUUAUCCACAAACUGGUAUUAGCAAAUAUAUGGUUUGCAUUCAUAACAUAUUAACAAGAACAAAUUGUAUUUAUAUAGGACCUUUAGGAUUAUAAAACAUUUCUGGGCAGCUCACAUGAAUUAUAAAGCAAAGAUAUGAUACUGCAUUGCAUCGGAGAUAUUAAGAUAGAUGAUUAAAAUUCUGGUCAGAAAAAUAAUUAAUAGAUAGUACAUUUUAGGAGGAAAGUAUGAUGCAGAGGCAAAGAGUUUUAUGAAACAAUGUUAAUAAAUAGGCAGCUGAAAAUGCGGCUGGCAGCACAACUAAAGUCAGCAAUGCUAAAGAGAUUAGGAUGAAAGAAUUGCAGAUAUAUUUGUAAAAUUGUGAGACUGGAGGAGAUUAUAGAAAUGGGGUGGUUUGAGACCAUGGAGGGAUUUGAAAACAAGAAAGAGAAUUUUAAAAUCAAAAUGUUGUUUAACUGGGAGUCAAGGUAGAUCUGUAAGCAACUGGAUGAUGAAUGAAAGGGAUUUGGCGUCAGUUUAAAAGCCAGCAGCAGAAUUUUGGAGAUAAGUUUAUGGAGCAGAGAAUGAGAGAGACUGGCCAUGCAUAUGUGAGAAUAGUCAAGCCCCGAGGUAAGAAAGGCAAGAAUAUGGAUUUCAGGAGAAGUCAAGCUGAAUCAGGUGGGGCUGGGCAAUGGUACAGAAGUAGAAAUAUGCCAUCUUGGUGACAGCCUUGAAAGUUGCCAGGGCGAAGGAUGGAGUCAGUGGCUAAGGAGUGUGCUAGGGAUGAAAAGGAAGGACUGCAAUUUUCCUAAUGUUUAAUUGGAGAAAAUUUCUGUUUAUCUGGUUCCUAGUGUCAGACAAAUAGCCCAAUUUUGAGACGGACUGGCUGAGAGAUGGGAUGUGGAGGUAGAGGCCAAUGCAGGGCAUACAAGAUUCUGAGGGGCUCAACCUGAGGGUGAGAUGUUAAUAUUUCCAUUAGUAGAGGAAUCUUGAACUAGUUACUAAACAGGGGGUCACUUAUUUUAAACUGGAAUAUGAAUAAAUGUCUUCUCUCAGGGGGUAGCGAAUGUCUGGAAUUUUCUAACCAGAAGAGUUGUGGAGGCUAGAUGACUGAAAGUAAAGAAGAGGUAGACAAGUUUUUCAAAGUGAGGGGUGCAGGGUUUGAGGCCUGGGUCUGAUCAGCCAUGAUCUUAUAGAAUGUUUGAGCAGCCAAAUAGCCUAUUUCUGCUCUUAUUGGUUAUGCUUUUUUUAAAUCUUCUUUGCGUUUUAGGAUGAUGUCACUGAGAGAAAGCAAGCUUGGAGGUCGGUAUGGGGAAACAGGGAAAAGCCAAGCCUUGAUCGUUGUGAGACACAAGAGCUAAUUGAUUGGGAGUGCAAAAAGAAAGCCGGUGAAGACAGGUUUCUGGUUGUGAUGACAGGGAAAACGGAACCAGUGGCUUAUUGGAAGAGAACCCAUUAAACGGCCCUGAUACUUGCUGUUGUCAACGAAUGGUUAUGAAGAUUUUUAAGUCACAAGACAGGGGCAAACUUGAAGACAAAAGAUUUUCGAUGACAAGGUCACCUGGAGGCAACGCGAAGGGCAAGCUUUUUACAGAAUAUGGAACGUGCUGGCAUAAGUGAAGGCAGAUACAGUUGGACUUUUGGAUGAGGACAUGAACAUGCAAGGAAUGGAGGGAUAUGGACCAAGGGCCGGCAGAAAGAACUAGUUUAAUUUGGCGUCAUGUUCAGCACAACAUCGUGGGCUGAAGGACCCGUUCCUAAUAUUAUGAUUUUUUUUUCAAUGAUGUAUAAAGGCAUAACUCUUGAAAUAGAGACGAGGUUCCAAAAACAAAGUUUUAAAGUGCCUUUAUUUCUAAGUAGAUAUGCCUAUCUUAUUAUCAACGAGAUACCUUCACAGUAAACAUUGGCUCCAUCGCCUGUUUCUGUGAUGGGGACGAAAUGUUACAAAGUUUUAUACGGGAAUACGCGGUCAUGGUGCCGCCUGCAACGUGUAACGGACAUUGCAGGAAAGCGAAGGCCUCUUUAGCCGGGAAUUUCCCAGGCGUCCAAAAUUGGAACAAAUGUUUUCAACUCUUUUUGCUGUGGAAUGUCAUGAUUCAUCCAUCAUCCAGUAUUUUAACUACUAAGUUUUAUCGCAGUUGUUCUUUCUAUUUACAUUUUUUAUCGCUAUUAUGUUACUAGAAUCACUUUCUAACAUUAUCUUUAGUCUCCUUUGGUACAUUCAUUUCAAAUGAUGCCUUUGCACUCCCCUCAUUUGGUGUUUCGUCCUUCCCCCUUAAAGAUUUUGUUUUAAACAUGUCAUGUUUAUUCCUAUUCAAUAGGAAUUCAACAGUCCACUGGAUAACUAAUUCCACUUAUUUUCUGUGAACGUUUUAAAAAUAUAUUCGAAGUGGUCAGGUGGAAUAGCGACAGUGUUGAAGUCCCAUGUCUGAAAACUUGAUCAAAAUAUGUAUUAUCAUCAAUCUCUGAUUUAUUUUUAAAUUCUUCUUGGCAAUA